This 253-nucleotide ribosomal RNA is filed under the name uncultured bacterium. RNAcentral's name for it is "partial 16S ribosomal RNA". It matches the Rfam family "Bacterial small subunit ribosomal RNA", at positions 524 to 776 of the family's 1533-position model. The record is from RNAcentral.
UACGUAGGGUGCAAGCGUUGUCCGGAAUUAUUGGGCGUAAAGAGCUCGCAGGCGGUCUGUCGCGUCUGCUGUGAAAACUCAGGGCUUAACCCUGAGCUUGCAGUGGGUACGGGCAGACUAGAGUGCGGUAGGGGAGACUGGAAUUCCUGGUGUAGCGGUGAAAUGCGCAGAUAUCAGGAGGAACACCGGUGGCGAAGGCGGGUCUCUGGGCCGUAACUGACGCUGAGGAGCGAAAGCAUGGGGAGCGAACAGG